AUUUCCAUUAUCUCAAGCAAAAACAAAGAGUUCAAAAUAUUGGUGGUAAGAAUUGUCAAAAACUUGUGAUUGCUAUGAUGAAGAGUUUUAUGACAAAUUCACUCAUGUCCAAAUCUAAUAUGGCAGCUGGAAAAGGCAAAGGAUCUUUUUAGUCUAACCAAGCUAUACAACUUAA
Hydra vulgaris (swiftwater hydra) is the source of this 175-nucleotide non-coding RNA. NCBI's taxonomy places the organism in Eukaryota, Metazoa, Cnidaria, Hydrozoa, Anthoathecata, Hydridae. The record is from RefSeq and is a predicted model, not a curated record.